UUAAGCGACCAAGCGUACACGGUGGAUGCCCUGGCAGUCAGAGGCGAUGAAGGACGUGCUAAUCUGCGAAAAGCGCCGGUAAGGUGAUAUGAACCGUUAUAACCGGCGAUGUCCGAAUGGGGAAACCCAGUGUGACUCGUCACACUAUCAUUAACUGAAUCCAUAGGUUAAUGAGGCGAACCGGGGGAACUGAAACAUCUAAGUACCCCGAGGAAAAGAAAUCAACCGAGAUUCCCCCAGUAGCGGCGAGCGAACGGGGAGGAGCCCAGAGCCUGAAUCAGCAUGUGUGUUAGUGGAAGCGUCUGGAAAGGCGCGCGAUACAGGGUGAGAGCCCCGUACACAAAAGCGCAUAUGCUGUGAGCUCGAUGAGUAGGGCGGGACACGUGGUAUCCUGUCUGAAUAUGGGGGGGACCAUCCUCCAAGGCUAAAUACUCCUGACUGACCGAUAGUGAACCAGUACCGUGAGGGAAAGGCGAAAAGAACCCCGGCGAGGGGAGUGAAACAGAACCUGAAACCGUGUACGUACAAGCAGUGGGAGCCCCACCACUAAGCCAGUGGUGAACUCCACAUACGCAUCCUUUGCGGAAGAUGCGGUUAACGGCGCGCAAGCGACGUUCAACCUCAAAAGAAGCAGAGGGGCUUAGUGGUGGGGUGACUGCGUACCUUUUGUAUAAUGGGUCAGCGACUUAUAUUCUGUAGCAAGGUUAACCGCAUAGGGGAGCCGAAGGGAAACCGAGUCUUAAUUGGGCGUUAAGUUGCAGGGUAUAGACCCGAAACCCGGUGAUCUAGCCAUGGGCAGGUUGAAGGUUGGGUAACACUAACUGGAGGACCGAACCGACUAAUGUUGAAAAAUUAGCGGAUGACCUGUGGCUGGGGGUGAAAGGCCAAUCAAACCGGGAGAUAGCUGGUUCUCCCCGAAAGCUAUUUAGGUAGCGCCUCGUGAAUUCAUCUCCGGGGGUAGAGCACUGUUUCGGCUAGGGGGCCAUCCCGGCUUACCAACCCGAUGCAAACUGCGAAUACCGGAGAAUGUUAUCACGGGAGACACACGGCGGGUGCUAACGUCCGUCGUGAAGAGGGAAACAACCCAGACCGCCAGCUAAGGUCCCAAAGUCAUGGUUAAGUGGGAAACGAUGUGGGAAGGCCCAGACAGCCAGGAUGUUGGCUUAGAAGCAGCCAUCAUUUAAAGAAAGCGUAAUAGCUCACUGGUCGAGUCGGCCUGCGCGGAAGAUGUAACGGGGCUAAACCAUGCACCGAAGCUGCGGCAGCGACACUGUGUGUUGUUGGGUAGGGGAGCGUUCUGUAAGCCGUUGAAGGUGUGUCGUGAGGCAUGCUGGAGGUAUCAGAAGUGCGAAUGCUGACAUAAGUAACGAUAAAGCGGGUGAAAAGCCCGCUCGCCGGAAGACCAAGGGUUCCUGUCCAACGUUAAUCGGGGCAGGGUGAGUCGACCCUAAGGCGAGGCCGAAAGGCGUAGUCGAUGGGAAACGGGUUAAUAUUCCCGUACUUGGUGUUACUGCGAAGGGGGGACGGAGAAGGCUAUGUUGGCCGGGCGACGGUAGUCCCGGUUUAAGCGUGUAGGUGUGUGUUCCAGGUAAAUCCGGUUCACUUUAACACUGAGGCGUGAUGACGAGGCACCACGGUGCUGAAGCAACAAAUGCCCUGCUUCCAGGAAAAGCCUCUAAGCAUCAGGUAACAUCAAAUCGUACCCCAAACCGACACAGGUGGUCAGGUAGAGAAUACCAAGGCGCUUGAGAGAACUCGGGUGAAGGAACUAGGCAAAAUGGUGCCGUAACUUCGGGAGAAGGCACGCUGACACGUAGGUGAAGUGAUUUACUCAUGGAGCUGAAGUCAGUCGAAGAUACCAGCUGGCUGCAACUGUUUAUUAAAAACACAGCACUGUGCAAACACGAAAGUGGACGUAUACGGUGUGACGCCUGCCCGGUGCCGGAAGGUUAAUUGAUGGGGUCAGCGCAAGCGAAGCUCCUGAUCGAAGCCCCGGUAAACGGCGGCCGUAACUAUAACGGUCCUAAGGUAGCGAAAUUCCUUGUCGGGUAAGUUCCGACCUGCACGAAUGGCGUAAUGAUGGCCAGGCUGUCUCCACCCGAGACUCAGUGAAAUUGAACUCGCUGUGAAGAUGCAGUGUACCCGCGGCAAGACGGAAAGACCCCGUGAACCUUUACUAUAGCUUGACACUGAACAUUGAGCCUUGAUGUGUAGGAUAGGUGGGAGGCUUUGAAGCGUGGACGCCAGUCUGCGUGGAGCCGACCUUGAAAUACCACCCUUUAAUGUUUGAUGUUCUAACGUGGACCCGUAAUCCGGGUUGCGGACAGUGUCUGGUGGGUAGUUUGACUGGGGCGGUCUCCUCCUAAAGAGUAACGGAGGAGCACGAAGGUUGGCUAAUCCUGGUCGGACAUCAGGAGGUUAGUGCAAUGGCAUAAGCCAGCUUGACUGCGAGCGUGACGGCGCGAGCAGGUGCGAAAGCAGGUCAUAGUGAUCCGGUGGUUCUGAAUGGAAGGGCCAUCGCUCAACGGAUAAAAGGUACUCCGGGGAUAACAGGCUGAUACCGCCCAAGAGUUCAUAUCGACGGCGGUGUUUGGCACCUCGAUGUCGGCUCAUCACAUCCUGGGGCUGAAGUAGGUCCCAAGGGUAUGGCUGUUCGCCAUUUAAAGUGGUACGCGAGCUGGGUUUAGAACGUCGUGAGACAGUUCGGUCCCUAUCUGCCGUGGGCGCUGGAAGACUGAGGGGGGGCUGCUCCUAGUACGAGAGGACCGGAGUGGACGCAUCACUGGUGUUCGGGUUGUCAUGCCAAUGGCACUGCCCGGUAGCUAAAUGCGGAAAAGAUAAGUGCUGAAAGCAUCUAAGCACGAAACUUGCCCGAGAUGAGUCUUCCCUGAGACCUUGAGUCUCCUGAAGGAACGUUAAAGACGAUGACGUUGAUAGGCCGGGUGUGUAAGCGCAGCGAUGCGUUGAGCUAACCGGUACUAAUGAACCGUGAGGCUUAACCUU
RNAcentral lists this ribosomal RNA (3003 nucleotides) under Salmonella enterica subsp. arizonae. RNAcentral describes it as "23S ribosomal RNA". It matches the Rfam family "Bacterial large subunit ribosomal RNA". Lineage: Bacteria; Pseudomonadati; Pseudomonadota; Gammaproteobacteria; Enterobacterales; Enterobacteriaceae. The record is from RNAcentral.